Molecule: ribosomal RNA, 498 nt
Filed under: uncultured bacterium
Lineage: Bacteria
Description: partial 16S ribosomal RNA
Rfam family: Bacterial small subunit ribosomal RNA
Source: RNAcentral
AUUGAACGCUGGCGGCAUGCUUUACACAUGCAAGUCGAACGGUAACAGGCCGCAAGGUGCUGACGAGUGGCGAACGGGUGAGUAAUGCAUCGGAACGUGCCCAGUCGUGGGGGAUAACGCAGCGAAAGCUGUGCUAAUACCGCAUACGAUCUAUGGAUGAAAGCGGGGGACCGUAAGGCCUCGCGCGAUUGGAGCGGCCGAUGUCAGAUUAGGUAGUUGGUGGGGGAAAGGGUCACCAAGCCAACGAUCUGUAGCUGGUCUGAGAGGACGACCCGCCACACUGGGACUGGGGCACGGCCCAGACUCCUACGGGAGGCAGCAGUGGGGAAUUUUGGACAAUGGGCGCAAGCCUGAUCCAGCAAUGCCGCGUGCAGGAAGAAGGCCUUCGGGUUGUAAACUGCUUUUGUACGGAACGAAAAGGUUUGGGUUAAUACCCUGGGCCGAUGACGGUACCGUAAGAAUAAGCACCGGCUAACUACGUGCCAGCAGCCGCGGUAA